AGCAGCUUAAAUAGCAGCUGCAGCAAUCACUGUCUCAUUCUGCCACUUCCAUGCACAGCCAAAACUCUCCAGGAUCCGUUCUGUGAGCUUUACUGAGGAAGUUGCAUUGCAUUGUGAUUGUCAAAUCCGCUUUAUACUUUUUGAAUUAUAUUUUUAUGGGUAAACACCCGAAUCUGAAAUAAUUCUGAUUAUAAGAUCUGGAUAUUCUCCAUAGCAGUCCACCAAAAUAUGGAUGUAUAACUGCCAGUAUCUUUAAAAAGAACUUCAAUCAAUAGUUUUUAUAAGGAACUCCCUAAAUAGAGUUCUUUUAAUUAUUUUUAAGGCAGCCUGUGGAAAUUUCAAUCUAUAAUAAGCCCCCUCCAGGAGCUAAUAUAGGAGAUUUUACUAUCCUUAUAUUUAAGUUACCCCUGAUGAAGUCGAUAAGACAAAACGCGUUGGGUUUGUCAGUCAGAAGUUUCCUACUUUGUGAAGAUACUCCCUUGUGAGCUCACACCUUAAAAAGGUGAGGGAGUAUCUAGAAUUCAAAUUAUUCAACAAACGCAGUGGUUGUCUUUUUUUACUGACAUUUACAUUUACUAUCUGUAUACUCAUUACAUGAUGAACUAUGUAAAAAUUGCAUUUGUUUAAAUGAAUGUUAUUUAAAAUAAUCUUUUAUUAAUUGGCCUUGGGCCUCUUGUUUGGGUGACCAUUUGGUGAGGGGUGUCCGUUACAGGUUCCCGGUCACAAACUUUCUCCAAUAUCCAACUUACACCUAUGGAAACAACAUUGGAAGAAUUACCGUAAAGAUGUUCCUAUAUAGAGCAUUUGAGAAUUUUGUGUAUAUAUAUAUAUAUAUAUA
This is a long non-coding RNA of Pseudophryne corroboree (corroboree frog), 838 nucleotides long. RefSeq lists it as uncharacterized. The record is from RefSeq and is a predicted model, not a curated record. The transcript has 6 exons. Lineage: Eukaryota; Metazoa; Chordata; Amphibia; Anura; Myobatrachidae.